AGUGAACGCUGGCGGUAGGCCUAACACAUGCAAGUCGAACGGCAGCACAGUAAGAGCUUGCUCUUACGGGUGGCGAGUGGCGGACGGGUGAGGAAUACAUCGGAAUCUACUUUUUCGUGGGGGAUAACGUAGGGAAACUUACGCUAAUACCGCAUACGACCUACGGGUGAAAGCAGGGGAUCUUCGGACCUUGCGCGAUUGAAUGAGCCGAUGUCGGAUUAGCUGGUUGGCGGGGUUAAGGCCCACCAAGGCGACGAUCCGCAGCUGGUCGGAGAGGAGGGUAGCCGGCAUGGGAGGUGGGACACGCACAAGGGUCCUGAGGGACGCAGCAGUGGGGAAUAUUAGGCAAUAGGCGCAAGCCUGAUCCAGCCAUACCGCGUCUGUGGCAAAGGCGUCGCGGUUGUAAAGCCCUUUUUUUGGGAAAGAAAAGCAGCAGGUUGAUACCCCGCUGUUCUGACGGUACCCAAUGAAUAAGCACCGGCUAACUUCGUG
This 492-nucleotide ribosomal RNA is filed under the name uncultured bacterium. RNAcentral describes it as "partial 16S ribosomal RNA". It matches the Rfam family "Bacterial small subunit ribosomal RNA", at positions 29 to 507 of the family's 1533-position model. The record is from RNAcentral.